This 39-nucleotide ribosomal RNA is filed under the name Tritrichomonas foetus. Its description in RNAcentral is "partial large subunit ribosomal RNA". The record is from RNAcentral. Lineage: Eukaryota; Parabasalia; Tritrichomonadida; Tritrichomonadidae.
AAGGGUUCUGUCUCAUAUAGGAAGACCCGCUGAACUGAA